RNAcentral lists this transfer RNA (73 nucleotides) under Bacteroides thetaiotaomicron. Its description in RNAcentral is "tRNA-OTHER". RNAcentral also lists the same sequence under 16 other names. Lineage: Bacteria; Pseudomonadati; Bacteroidota; Bacteroidia; Bacteroidales; Bacteroidaceae. The record is from RNAcentral.
GCCCUUGUAAGUCUCAGGUGGUUAGAGCUACGCCGCGAAGUCGUGGUCGCCGGUUCGAGGCCGGCCGAGGGCA